GGGCCCGGGCGGCGUGCUAUACAUGCAGUCGAGCGGACAGAUGGGAGCUUGCUCCCUGAUGUUAGCGGCGGACGGGUGAGUAACACGUGGGUAACCUGCCUGUAAGACUGGGAUAACUCCGGGAAGACCGGAGCUAAUACCGGAUGCUUGAUUGAACCGCCAUGGUUCAAUUAUAAAAGGUGGCUUUUAGCUACCACUUACAGAUGAACCCGCGGCGCAUUAGCUAGUUGGUGAGGUAACGGCUCACCAAGGCAACGAUGCGUAGCCAACCUGAGAGGGUGAUCGGCCACACUGGGACUGAAACACGGCCCAAACUCCUACGGGAGGCAGCAGUAGGGAAUCUUCCGCAAUGGACGAAAGUCUGACGGAGCAACGCCCCGUGAGUGAUGAAGGUUUUCGGAUCGUAAAACUCUGUUGUUAGGGAAAAACAAGUACCGUUCGAAUAGGGCGGUACCUUGACGGUACCUAACCAAAAAGCCACGGCUAACUACGUGCCAGCAGCCGCGGUAAUACGUAGGUGGCAAGCGUUGUCCGGAAUUAUUGGGCGUAAAGCGCGCGCAGGCGGUUUCUUAAGUCUGAUGUGAAAGCCCCCGGCUCAACCGGGGAGGGUCAUUGGAAACUGGGGAACUUGAGUGCAAAAAAGGAGAGUGGAAUUCCACGUGUACCGGUGAAAUGCGUAGAGAUGUGGAGGAACACCAGUGGCGAAGGCGACUCUCUGGUCUGUAACUGACGCUAAGGCGCGAAAGCGUGGGGAGCGAACAGGAUUAGAUACCCUGGUAGUCCACGCCGUAAACGAUGAGUGCUAAGUGUUAGAGGGUUUCCGCCCUUUAGUGCUGCAGCAAACGCAUUAAGCACUCCGCCUGGGGAGUACGGUCGCAAGACUGAAACUCAAAGGAAUUGACGGGGGCGCCGCACAACCGGUGGGAGCAGGUGGUUUAAUUCAAAGCGAACGCGAAAAACCUUACCCAGGUCUUGACAUCCUCUGACAACCCUAGAGAUAGGGCUUCCCCUUCGGGGGCAGAGUGACAGGUGGUGCAUGGUUGUCGUCAGCUCGUGUCGUGAGAUGUUGGGUUAAGUCCCGCAACGAGCGCAACCCUUGAUCUUAGUUGCCAGCAUUCAGUUGGGCACUCUAAGGUGACUGCCGGUGACAAACCGGAGGAAGGUGGGGAUGACGUCAAAUCAUCAUGCCCCUUAUGACCUGGGCUACACACGUGCUACAAUGGGCAGAACAAAGGGCAGCGAAGCCGCGAGGCUAAGCCAAUCCCACAAAUCUGUUCUCAGUUCGGAUCGCAGUCUGCAACUCGACUGCGUGAAGCUGGAAUCGCUAGUAAUCGCCGAUCGGUCCCU
This 1347-nucleotide ribosomal RNA is filed under the name Bacillus licheniformis. RNAcentral's name for it is "bacterial SSU rRNA". It matches the Rfam family "Bacterial small subunit ribosomal RNA", at positions 31 to 1356 of the family's 1533-position model. Lineage: Bacteria; Bacillati; Bacillota; Bacilli; Caryophanales; Bacillaceae. The record is from RNAcentral.